GUUUUCAGACAACUCAAAACAAAAGGAAAAGGGGGGAAGCCAAAAAAAGCAAGUAAAAUUGAGAAUGUCAACAGCACAUUUUACACACAAGCUCCCACCAUUGUGUUUGUUCAAACUUAAAACUUUACACAUGGACAAGAGGUGCAACUGCACAUCCACAGGAACAUCUGCCAGUCUAAUUUGUAUAUGCACGAGUACAAUUUAACUGUAAAUAGGCAAAAACUAUAAAUGCAUAAUACAACUUUAUGCAGAAAAAUUAUAAAAAUAAUAACUUACACCUUAGCUUUAGCUUUUUAAUUCCUAGAAAUAGUGACGCUGCUGCCUGAAAAGAUGAAUAAAAUGAAACCAACUAGCAUUUCAUUCACUCUUGUUCAGAAACAGAGUGACGAUCCUAAAUGACAUAGUUAAUAUUAUAACAAAUCAGAAAGCAUUUCCUCAGGGAUUUGUCCUGAAAUGAUGGCGCUCAUUUGGCUGCAAUUCUGACUUUGGGGGGCCAUUGUAGCCAUCAAGCAGGUCAUGAAUUUUGGAAUAUGUCAACACCUGAGAAGCGUCAACCCCACCGCUGCUUUGUGAUGCAUGUGAACUCUCCUGCAGCUUAAUUUUCUCAAAAAGAUACUGCUUCUCAGCUUCUGCUUCACUUAAACGAAGUUUGAGGUAGCUGCUGGCAUAUUCUUCUUCUGAUUUGUCAGUCUUAGCAAGAGCAAUUCUCUGCAGCCUCUCAGCCUCUCGUUUUGCCUCAUUGGCCUUGAGCUGGAACAUAUCAGCCUCUGCCUGCUUAAGCCUCACAAUUCUCUCCAGCUCUUCUAUCUGUAUCUUCUUCUUUUGCCUGUCUAGCUUUAAUUCUGUCACUUCCUUGGCCUUCUCCUCCAGUUCACGGUCACAAGCCUCAAGAGCCAUGCGGGCUUUCUUAAACAUUCUCAUCUUCUCAUCAGCCACCAACUCCAUCUUCCUUGUAGCCUCUUGUACCACUUCAGCAAUUCGGUUACAUGCCUCCUGUGGAGCUAUUAGCCUUCCACCCUCCCCAUUUUCCAAGCUCUUAGGAGAGUCUACCUCAAGUUCUGCGAAAAAUAUAAGAAUUACUUUGCAGGCUGUUGACUCUGGAAUUCCACCCUUCAUUUUAUCAAUAAGUUCCUCACAUUUCCAAAAAAGUUUCCUGCCUCUGUUGUCUUCACUUCCUCGGAAGAUUCUACUGACAAAAUCAAGUUCUCUCAUUAAAGCCUCUCGAUCCCAUGCUGGUGCACAAUGUUGAAAAACAUCUUUCACCCACCCUAGGAGUUCAGAUGUUCGAUUACAGGCCCGGCAUCGAAAAAGCAUUUCAGCUGGGCCAGAUCCACUCUUUACAGAAGGGCCCAUAGAAAUUUGUCCAUCACGAAUAGCACAAUCAGUGUGAGUCCAAUGAGAACAUAGAUCGCACCCAAUCCAACGACAAGUAUUGACUUCAAAAUCAAACUUGUUACAGAUCACACACAUGCACAGAUUGCAAAAACCUUUCCUAUUGGAACAUAUUUCACAAGUACAAUCAGCAGCUGGAAGUUGAUUUUGGCAUGCUAUGUUUCUGCAUCUCUUGAAAACAAAGACCUCAAUGAGGGAUGUUUGAGAAAGACUAAUACUUGGAUGCAAAAAUGCUUGAAUUCCAGUAUUUAUUGCAACAAGGAUUUCAAGCUGCACCCGGUGUGCUCUAAUUAAUGUCUUCGCGGUCAAAUCAGAUCUAACCUGAACAGACCUCUGCAGAAUCGAAAAUUCCUCUCUAUGCUGUGAACCACCAGUUCCUUCUAGUAUAACUCGGAGCCCAUUCUUUAGCUCUUCUAGAAACUCAUCAGGCAAAUGAUGCAUCUUUUCAGAAAUAAUAUCAACUCGUUCUCUUGCUAUGUCACGAAGAGAUAUCUUAUCAGCACUAGAAACACGGUGAAUGACGGACUGUACAGGGCAAUCAUUUUCUGUUUUUCCAUUCUCCAUCUUCUUGGCCAUUACAGCAUCAGCAGUAGGCCAAGUUUCUCUAGAACUAGCACUCUCACUAGGGGACUCACGGAUAUUAUCCGAGUUUGAUCUGAGUUCUUGAGCAUCAGGAGACAGGUGAGGAUCUGAAGAGACUAGGGACAGGGAAGUCUGUAGUCCUCCAGGGCGGGGUUGCUGACGUGGAGGCAACAUUUUUGUUGAAGGCUGGUGGUGGAUGUUAGAACCAGAUGAUGUACCCAUCAACCAAUGUUGCCUAAUCAGAGAAAACCGAGUUGAGCGGAUGGAGAGACGAAGCAAUAAGGUGUACACGGAAGAAGCAGAGAGAAGAAAAAGCGAAAGUUUCGAUCAAAGAGGUAGGACUUUUACUAUUUUGCCCCUGAGAGAAGAGUUUACCCAGAAAUACCCACGACUCUACCAGGGACAUGGGUGGACAAAAGGACUGUAAGAGAAGACCGCUGGUUUUAUCUUUUUUUUUUUUUUUCUCAACGUCGAAAUGACCGGCUCAGCCGGUAGUGUUCAGUAUGUUGACCGGCAUAGUGCGUCCACGUUUCCCUUCUUUUUUGGUAUGUUCUCCAAUUGCUGACCUGUUAAACAAGUUGCUGUAGGAAUCAAAACACGGUAGUUUCAUCUUUUAUUUUUGUUUUUCUUUUGAGUGAAUAAGUAAUUAUUUGUCCUAAUUAUUGACAGAUUCAUAAUCUUUGAAAAUUAAAUUAAUUAAUCCAUAAUUUUUUUGUUUAAAAUUAAUUCUUAAUUAUUUAAUACCUGAACCAAUUUUUUCCUUUAAUUAACUGUUAAAAUUAAUACAAAUUUUAAAUUACGUAAAAUUUUAAAAAUCUCCUCAAUUAACAAUUUUCUUCAAAUUAUUUUGAAAAUAAUUUGAAAGAAAUUCAAAUCAGAUUUUCCUAUGUAAGAACCAUAAAAUUUUCUCUCCAUAUCUAAGGUACUAAGCAUCUAAAUCAUUUGGGCAACCUUUUUUAUAUCAUUUUCCCCUUUUUCUGUUCAUGAAAAGAGAAUGGAGAGAUGGAAAUAAUAAUAAUAUACUCGCGAUAUUGGUAAUGAGAAAUCUUGGAAACUCCAGACAUUUGACUGUCCAAUUUGCCUAACAUGCAACUCUCUCAUCUAUGAACUGCGCCCUAAAAUUUUUCCCGAGUGUUAUGCGUCUGGAAACAAGGGAAUGGAGAAACAAAAAUACGCUUGUUGUUGCCAUCUUCACUUGCGACUACCGACUUCAAGUGGCUCAACCACCUCAGCUUCUAAUGUUUCUGGGAUGUGAGGUUGAGGAGAUGCAUGAGUAGACCAUUUCCCUGAUAUGGCAAUGCCCAUCAUCUCAUAUAUCUUCCCACCAAGCUGUGCUGGAUUCUCAGGCUGCAUGAAUCAGAGAAUUAGUUAGACAACACCGAAAGCUGGGGCACAUGAAGAAGCAAGUCUAAUCAUUCACUUUUAUUACUCCCAUAGCUUAAUAUUAGAAAAAAAACUUUCAUGAACCCCAAUGACAAGUAGAUCAUGAUUCAUCAGAAAAGCCACAAGUAGACUAACUGCACUAGCAUAAAGACUUACAGUAAACCCACUGGAGACUAAAGCUGCAUCAUAAAGAAGAUCAAUAGCUUUCAGGGCAUCUUCAUCAUCUGGGUUAAUCCUGCAUGCCUCAUUUAAGUUCUUAAUUAUUGCAUGUUCAGGAUUGAUCUCAAACACUCUUCUGCCUCUCAUGAAUUCCAGGCUAGACAUGUCACCAACUGUUUGUGACUUCAUUAGCCUUUCCAUGUUGGCAGACCAACCAAAUUUCCCAGAUACAAGAACGCAGGGUGAGGAGCUCAGGCGGUUUGAGAUUUGUACACUGGCAACUUUGUCACCCAAACGCUUCUUAAUCCAAUCACAAGUUUGGCCAAACUCCUGCUUCAUCUCCUUCUCUUUUUCCUCAUUCUUAUCACCUAAAUCCAAGUCUUCCUUGCUGAUAUCAACAAAAUUCUUCUCCUUGUAUGAUUUCAGGUUCUGGACAGCAACCUCAUCAAUGGGAUCAACUAAGAACAGCACUUCAAGAUCCUUCUCAAUAAGUUUCUCUAGGAAAGGUGUGUUCUUGGCACUGGUCACACUAUCAGAAGCAAUAUAAUAGAUAUCCUUCUGAUCAGGUUUCAUGUUCUCUACAUAUUCAUCCAAGCUUAUCAUCUCCUCCUCACUCUGGGAAGAGAAGAAUCUAAGCAGUGGCGCAAUACGCUUGUGGUUUUCACGAUCCUCAAUGCAACCCAAUUUCAAAUAUUUGCCAAAGUUCUCCCAGAACUUCUCAUAGUCUUCUCUAUUCUCACUCAUAGAUAUUCCCAAAAUCAUGUCAAAGGCCUUUCGAACCAAUCGUUUCCGCAUGAUCCGUACAAUACGACUUUCUUGAAGAAUUUCACGUGAAACAUUGAGAGGAAGAUCAUUCGAGUCCACGACACCUUUCACAAAGCUUAGAUACCGAGGGAACAGCUCUCCAUCAAAAUCAUCUGAAAUGAAUACUCUUUUCACAUAGAGCCUGAUAUUUUUUGUCUUGGGAUUAACUAUGUCAUCCUUUCCUGUAGGAGAAACAGCUGGCACAUAUAGUACAGAUCUGAACUCCACCUCACCCUGUGAAAUCAACCAUCAUCAUCUCCCGAAGCAGUAGGCAAAUUUGAGAAAGGGAAAAUCAGGAAUUAGAGUCGAACAUUUAGUCAAUAGUAAAAAAUUGAUCAACUUUCUCUUGGUUUUUACCAUAAGAUGAUUAUCACCUUUUCUAGAAGCAAAUACUAAAUGAGAUCCUACAAAUUGAUGAGACCAUUUUUCAAUCAUAGAAACUAAUAUAUAAAAAUCAUUAAUUGAAGCAAUCAUCAAAGUUGCAAUUGCUAUUACCUCUGUUGUGAAAUGUGAGGAUGCUAAUGGUUCCAAGUAUUCAUUAAAUGUUUUCUUGUAAAACUCA
RNAcentral lists this unclassified non-coding RNA (4882 nucleotides) under Hevea brasiliensis (rubber tree). Lineage: Eukaryota; Viridiplantae; Streptophyta; Magnoliopsida; Malpighiales; Euphorbiaceae. The record is from RNAcentral.